Molecule: ribosomal RNA, 601 nt
Filed under: fungal endophyte
Lineage: Eukaryota; Fungi
Description: eukaryotic LSU rRNA
Rfam family: 5.8S ribosomal RNA (bases 181-334)
Source: RNAcentral
UGUAGGGGGGGGGCCUCGGGCGCACCCAGAAACCCUUUGUGAACUUAUACCUUACUGUUGCCUCGGCGCAGGCCGGCCUCUACUGCUGAGGCCCCCCGGAGACGGGGAGCAGCCCGCCGGCGGCCAACCAAACUCUUGUUUCUACAGUGAAUCUCUGAGUAAAAAACAUAAAUGAAUCAAAACUUUCAACAACGGAUCUCUUGGUUCUGGCAUCGAUGAAGAACGCAGCGAAAUGCGAUAAGUAAUGUGAAUUGCAGAAUUCAGUGAAUCAUCGAAUCUUUGAACGCACAUUGCGCCCUCUGGUAUUCCGGAGGGCAUGCCUGUUCGAGCGUCAUUUCAACCCUCAAGCCUGGCUUGGUGUUGGGGCACUGCCUGUAAAAGGGCAGGCCCUGAAAUCUAGUGGCGAGCUCGCUAGGACCCCGAGCGUAGUAGUUAUAUCUCGUUCUGGAAGGCCCUGGCGGUGCCCUGCCGUUAAACCCCCAACUUCUGAAAUUUUGACCUCGGAUCAGGUAGGAAUACCCGCUGAACUUAAGCAUAUCAUUAAGCGGAGGAAGGAUCUUUGUUGGAACGCGCCCCGCGCACCAAAAACCCUUUGGGAAUU